UACGUAGGGAGCAAGCGUUGUUCGGAUUUACUGGGCGUGAAGGGCGCGUAGGCGGCAAUUCAAGUCAUCUGUGAAAUCUCCGGGCUUAACUCGGAACGGUCAGAUGAUACUGCUUUGCUAGAGUGCAGAAGGGGCAAUCGGAAUUCUCGGUGUAGCGGUGAAAUGCGUAGAUAUCGAGAGGAACACCAGAGGUGAAGACGGGUUGCUGGGCUGACACUGACGCUGAGGCGCGAAAGCCAGGGGAGCAAACGGG
This 253-nucleotide ribosomal RNA is filed under the name uncultured bacterium. Its description in RNAcentral is "partial 16S ribosomal RNA". It matches the Rfam family "Bacterial small subunit ribosomal RNA", at positions 524 to 776 of the family's 1533-position model. The record is from RNAcentral.